RNAcentral lists this long non-coding RNA (467 nucleotides) under Bos taurus (domestic cattle). Its description in RNAcentral is "long non-coding RNA NONBTAT019036". The record is from RNAcentral. Lineage: Eukaryota; Metazoa; Chordata; Mammalia; Artiodactyla; Bovidae.
GUCAGGUGUUACCCAGAGAGGAUUUCAGCGUUCACUCUGCUUGGGGUUGUAUGAUAGUGCCGGGGUCUCUUAGCUCAGGUAAUCUGAAGCCGUCCAGUUGCAGUCAGGGAAAUUCUUAGUUUUUCCAGGAAGGAAUCUUGUCCUGGCCUCAAACCUUCUUCUGGGAGGUAUGAAAACCAGACAUCCAACAGGCUGGCUUUUGUCCUGCUCCUCUUAGGAGCCUGCAUGCUGAGGAGAUGCGAGGGGAUGUGCAAGGAAUGGGUGGGGUCCCCUGCCUUUCAGCUUGCCUCUGGUCUGAGCUCUCCUGUAGAACAUGCCCUCACGCACCCAGGGCAUUACAGUCGUUAGCUCAAUGGAUGUGGCAAGCAGGGAUGAUACAGAAUUAACUCUUACCAGGUUUAAGCCUCCUUGGCAUCAGCUGAGGCUUUAAUUCUUUGAAGAGUCUUUCUUGUCAUUGGUGGUGGUUU